This 354-nucleotide ribosomal RNA is filed under the name uncultured bacterium. RNAcentral's name for it is "bacterial SSU rRNA". It matches the Rfam family "Bacterial small subunit ribosomal RNA", at positions 445 to 793 of the family's 1533-position model. The record is from RNAcentral.
AAGAAUGAGCCGUCUGCGGACGGAAGUUGACGGUACCCGUAGGAAUAAGCACCGGCUAACUACGUGCCAGCAGCCGCGGUAAUACGUAGGGUGCAAGCGUUGUCCGGAUUUACUGGGUUUAAAGGGUACGUAGGCGGUUGUGCCAAGUCUGGGGUGAAAGUUUGCAGCUCAACUGUAAAAAUUGCCUUGGAUACUGGUCGGCUAGAGUAGUGGAGCGGUGGCUGGAAUUUAUAGUGUAGCGGUGAAAUGCUUAGAUACUAUGAGGAACACCAAUUGCGAAGGCAGGUCACUGGUCACUAACUGACGCUGAGGUACGAAAGUGUGGGGAUCAAACAGGAUUAGAUACCCUGGUAG